AUACUUAGGGUGCAAGCGUUAAUCGGAAUUACUGGGCGUAAAGCGAGUGUAGGCGGCUACGUAAGUCGGAUGUGAAAGCCCUGGGCUCAACCUGGGAAUUGCAUUCGAAACUGCGUGGCUAGAGUUUGGUAGAGGUAAGUGGAAUUCCGGGUGUAGCGGUGAAAUGCGUAGAUAUCCGGAGGAACAUCAGUGGCGAAGGCGGCUUACUGGAUCAAAACUGACGCUGAGGCUCGAAAGCGUGGGGAGCAAACAGGAUUAGAAACCCCGGUAGUCC
This 274-nucleotide ribosomal RNA is filed under the name uncultured bacterium. RNAcentral describes it as "partial 16S ribosomal RNA". It matches the Rfam family "Bacterial small subunit ribosomal RNA", at positions 523 to 796 of the family's 1533-position model. The record is from RNAcentral.